Molecule: non-coding RNA, 951 nt
Organism: Cajanus cajan (pigeon pea)
Lineage: Eukaryota; Viridiplantae; Streptophyta; Magnoliopsida; Fabales; Fabaceae
Source: RefSeq, a predicted model, not a curated record
GUUAUUUGAUGUAUUAUUCUGAUGUUUUUGUGGUUGUGUAGUGGCUCGUUUUGACUUUUCAUGGCAUGACCUUGAGUAUCACCAGUAGACUUUAGAGAAUUUGAAGAUUGCUGUCAAGAGUUCUAAGAAAUUAUUUGCUGUUAUGCUGGACACGGUGGGUGCAGAGAUGCAGGUUGUUAACAAAAGCGAGAAAGCAAUCUCACUUGAGGCAAAUGCUCAAGUUGUUCUAACUCCUGAUCAGGGACAAGAAGCCUCUUUAGAAAUAUUGCCCAUCAAUUUUGAUGGAUUGGCAAAGGCAGUGAAGAAGGGGGACAUUAUUUUUAUUGGACAAUACCUGUUCACAGGAAGUGAAACUACUUCUGUAUGGCUAGAGGGAAUAUUAAUUAUUGAACCAGAAUGCAAAAUUUAUUCCAAUACAUCUCUUUUUAUUAUAAUUUCAAUAUUCUUCACUAUCUUUUCAAAUGAUUUAUAUUGGUCCUUUCGUUUGGGUUGAGUUUGUAUUCAUUUAUUUAUUUUUAAUGUGCUCAACCAUUUGUUUUAGUCCAUAAUUUGAAUACUUGUAAUGGAAAUUAAAAUUUGCUGAAUCGAUAUGCUCUAAAUCUAAGUGUGGUCCAAGGCAUAAAAUGGAAUAUGCAACCUUCUGCCUGCAUGAUUAGUUAUGAAUGGUGCUGUCUAGCAUGUUAAAUUUUUCUGGCAACUAAGUCAAAUUUUACUGGUCUCAAAAGCUGAUUUGUGCAGAAUAUGAUAUUUCAUUUUCAUUUUGGGUUCCAGAUUCAAUCAGGAUGUCAUUAUCUUUUAUGGUAACCAUUUGCUUAUUUUUCUCGGUGCAAAUUGAAAUUUAAGAUUGUUGUUCUAAUAUAGCCAUUAAUAGUUAUAUAUUCUUGAUCUUGAUAGGUUGAAACUACCAAAUACUUCAGCGUAAUUAUUAGUUUUGGCAAUAAUUCAUAUUCC